AGCAAUCCUCCCACCUCAGCCUCCCAGAGUGCCAGGAUUACAGGAAUCUAGUUUUGUUCCUUGGUCACUCUUCUGCUCAACCUGCAUGGAGACUCAUUUGUCCCAUAAGCAAAGUGCUAUAGUUUGGAUAUUUGACCUUCUAAAUACCGUGUUGAAAUCUGAUCCCUAAUGUUGGAGGUAGGCCCUAAUGGUAGGUAUUUGGGUCUUGGGGGCAGAUCCCUCAUGAAGGGGCCCGGUGCCCUCAUGGUAAUGAGCAAGUUCUCACUGUAUUGGUUCCUGAGAGAGCUGGUUGUUAAAAAGAGCUUAGCACCUCUCCCCUUCUCUCUCUUUCUUCCUUUUUUGUAUGUGAUACUCUGCACACGCUGGCUCUCCUUCGUCUUCCACCAGGAGUAGAAGCAGCCAGAGUCCCUCACCAGAGGCAGAUGCUAGCACCAUGCUUCUUGUACAGCCUGCAGAACUGUGAGCCAAAUAAACCUCUUUUCUUUAUAAACUA
This is a long non-coding RNA of Lemur catta (Ring-tailed lemur), 493 nucleotides long. RefSeq lists it as uncharacterized. The transcript has 2 exons. Lineage: Eukaryota; Metazoa; Chordata; Mammalia; Primates; Lemuridae. The record is from RefSeq and is a predicted model, not a curated record.